UAAGUGAUCAAUUUGGAAUAAAAUCAAAAUGAAUAAAUCAUUUCAAUUUAUAAUGUAUUUUUUUUAUUUUUAAUUCUCAAUAUAUAAUAAGGGUAGUUUAAUAAAAGUAUCAUUUUUUCUUUAAUUUUUUUCUCUUCAUAUUCUUCUCGCAGGUAUGAGUUAGUAUGUUACAAUGCAAUGCCUAGACAGAGAGAGUAGUUAAU
This 203-nucleotide long non-coding RNA is filed under the name Lathyrus oleraceus (garden pea). Its description in RNAcentral is "Pisum sativum (pea) long non-coding RNA (PSAT_LNC018057)". The record is from RNAcentral. Lineage: Eukaryota; Viridiplantae; Streptophyta; Magnoliopsida; Fabales; Fabaceae.